AUGGGUUGCAAUAACAAGGUCCAAGCGACUGUUUAUCAAAAACACAGGUCUCCGCGAAGUCGAAAGACAAUGUAUGGGGGCUGACGCCUGCCCAGUGCCGGAAGGUUAAAGAAGCUGGUUAGCAGUAGCGAAGCUAGUGACUGAAGCCCCGGUGAACGGCGGCCGUAACAAUAACGGUCCUAAGGUAGCGAAAUUCCUUGUCGGGUAAGUUCCGACCCGCACGAAAGGCGUAACGAUUUGG
RNAcentral lists this ribosomal RNA (241 nucleotides) under Oxyrrhis marina. RNAcentral's name for it is "partial Bacterial large subunit ribosomal RNA". It matches the Rfam family "Bacterial large subunit ribosomal RNA", at positions 1772 to 2012 of the family's 2925-position model. Lineage: Eukaryota; Dinophyceae; Oxyrrhinales; Oxyrrhinaceae. The record is from RNAcentral.